RNAcentral lists this ribosomal RNA (322 nucleotides) under uncultured eukaryote. RNAcentral describes it as "partial 18S ribosomal RNA". It matches the Rfam family "Eukaryotic small subunit ribosomal RNA", at positions 1470 to 1796 of the family's 1831-position model. The record is from RNAcentral.
CCCUUAGAUGUUCUGGGCCGCACGCGUGCUACACUGAGUGGAUCAGCGGGUCAGGUUGCGCGAAAGCGUUUCCUAAUCUUUAAAUCCGCUCGUGAUGGGGAUUGACGGUUGCAAUUUUCUGUCAUGAACGAGGAAUACCUUGUCAGCGCGGGUCAUCAUCCCGCGCUGAAUACGUCCCUGCCCUUUGUACACACCGCCCGUCGCUCCUACCGAUUGAGUGGUCCGGUGAGGCUUUGGGAUCUGAGCGGAAAGAGCGUUUCGCUGUUUCUGCUCGGAAAACUCAGUCGAACCUUAUCAUUUAGAGGAAGGAGAAGUCGUAACA